Molecule: ribosomal RNA, 119 nt
Filed under: Pteropus alecto (black flying fox)
Lineage: Eukaryota; Metazoa; Chordata; Mammalia; Chiroptera; Pteropodidae
Also listed under: 1 other name
Source: RNAcentral
GUCUUUGGACAUGCCACCCUGAACAAGCCCAAUCCUGUCUGAUCUUAGAAGCUAAGCAGGGUCGGGCCUGGUUAGUACUUGGAUGGGAAACCAACUAGAAAGACCAGGUGGUGUAGGUA